RNAcentral lists this ribosomal RNA (887 nucleotides) under uncultured eukaryote. RNAcentral describes it as "SSU rRNA". It matches the Rfam family "Eukaryotic small subunit ribosomal RNA", at positions 565 to 1480 of the family's 1831-position model. The record is from RNAcentral.
UGCCAAGCAGCCGCGGUAAUUCCAGCUCCAAUAGCGUAUAUUAAAGUUGUUGCAGUUAAAAAGCUCGUAGUUGGAUCUCGGGUCCGGGCUCGCGGUCCACCUCGCGGUGGUUACUGCCCGUCCCGACCUACCUACCGGUUUUCCCUUGGUGCUCUUAACUGAGUGUCUCGGGUGGCCGGAACGUUUACUUUGAAAAAAUUAGAGUGUUCAAAGCAGGCGCUUCGCCUGAAUAAUGUUGCAUGGAAUAAUGGAAUAGGACCUCGGUUCUAUUUUGUUGGUUUUCGGAACUCGAGGUAAUGAUUAAGAGGGACAGACGGGGGCAUUCGUAUGAUGGUGUUAGAGGUGAAAUUCUUGGAUCGCCGUCAGACGAACUACUGCGAAAGCAUUUGCCAAGAAUGUUUUCAUUAAUCAAGAACGAAAGUCAGAGGUUCGAAGACGAUCAGAUACCGUCCUAGUUCUGACCAUAAACGAUGCCGACUAGCGAUCCGCCGGAGUUGUUUCAAUGACCCGGCGGGCAGCUUCCGGGAAACCAAAGUCUUUGGGUUCCGGGGGAAGUAUGGUUGCAAAGCUGAAACUUAAAGGAAUUGACGGAAGGGCACCACCAGGAGUGGAGCCUGCGGCUUAAUUUGACUCAACACGGGAAAGCUUACCCGGCCCGGACACCGUAAGGAUUGACAGAUUGAGAGCUCUUUCUUGAUUCGGUGGGUGGUGGUGCAUGGCCGUUCUUAGUUGGUGGAGCGAUUUGUCUGGUUAAUUCCGAUAACGAACGAGACUCUAGCCUAUUAAAUAGUUCGCCGAUUUCGAUCUGUCGGCGUUAACUUCUUAGAGGGACAAGUGGCUUUUAGCCACGCGAGAUUGAGCAAUAACAGGUCUGUGAUGCCCAAGGG